GCUCCUGUAGUGUAGUCCGGUCAAUCAUUCCGGCUUUUCGAGCCGGGGACCCGGGUUCGAAUCCCGGCGGGAGCG
Molecule: transfer RNA, 75 nt
Filed under: Nanobdellota archaeon
Lineage: Archaea; Nanobdellati; Nanobdellota
Description: tRNA-Glu
Rfam family: tRNA
About the family: Transfer RNA (tRNA) molecules are approximately 80 nucleotides in length.
Source: RNAcentral